Molecule: transfer RNA, 89 nt
Filed under: Armatimonadota bacterium
Lineage: Bacteria; Bacillati; Armatimonadota
Description: Armatimonadetes bacterium (bioreactor metagenome) tRNA-Leu
Rfam family: tRNA
About the family: Transfer RNA (tRNA) molecules are approximately 80 nucleotides in length. Their secondary structure includes four short double-helical elements and three loops (D, anti-codon, and T loops).
Source: RNAcentral
GCCGGAGUGGCGGAACUGGCAGACGCACUGGACUCAAAAUCCAGCGGGGGUUAAACCUCGUGUCGGUUCGAAUCCGACCUCCGGCACCA